This 254-nucleotide ribosomal RNA is filed under the name uncultured bacterium. RNAcentral describes it as "partial 16S ribosomal RNA". It matches the Rfam family "Bacterial small subunit ribosomal RNA", at positions 524 to 776 of the family's 1533-position model. The record is from RNAcentral.
UACAGAGGUCUCAAGCGUUGUUCGGAUUCAUUGGGCGUACAGGGCGCGUAGGCGGCGGGGUCAGUCGGGUGUGAAAUCUUGGGGCUUAACCCCGAAACGGCACUCGAAACUGCCCGGCUGGAGGGCCGGAGAGGAGAUCGGAAUUCACGGUGUAGCAGUGAAAUGCGUAGAGAUCGUGAGGAAGACCCGUGGCGAAGGCGGAUCUCUGGACGGCUAACUGACGCUGAGGCGCGAAGGCCAGGGGAGCAAACGGG